This 302-nucleotide ribosomal RNA is filed under the name uncultured bacterium. RNAcentral describes it as "partial 16S ribosomal RNA". It matches the Rfam family "Bacterial small subunit ribosomal RNA", at positions 508 to 807 of the family's 1533-position model. The record is from RNAcentral.
GCAGCAGCCGCGGUAAUACAGAGGGUGCAAGCGUUAAUCGGAAUUACUGGGCGUAAAGCGCGCGUAGGUGGUUCGCCAAGUUGGAUGUGAAAUCCCCGGGCUCAACCUGGGAACUGCAUCCAAAACUGGCGAGCUAGAGUAUGGUAGAGGGUGGUGGAAUUUCCUGUGUAGCGGUGAAAUGCAUAGAUAUAGGAAGGAACAUCAGUGGCGAAGGCGACCACCUGGACUGAUACUGACACUGAGGUGCGAGAGCGUGGGGAGCAAACAGGAUUAGAGACCCGAGUAGUCCCUGUCUCUUAUAC